GACGAACGCUGGCGGCGUGCUUAACACAUGCAAGUCGAACGGUGAAGCGCCUUCCUUUUUGGUGGGUGUGGAUGAGUGGCGAACGGGUGAGUAACACGUGAGUAACCUGCCCCCUUCUUCUGGAUAACCGCAUGAAAGUGUGGCUAAUACGGGAUAUUCUGGGUCUGUCGCAUGAUGGGUCUGGGAAAGAUAUUGUUUCGGUGGGGGAUGGGCUCGCGGCCUAUCAGCUUGUUGGUGGGGUGAUGGCCUACCAAGGCGGUGACGGGUAGCCGGCCUGAGAGGGUGGACGGUCACACUGGGACUGAGGCACGGCCCAGACUCCUACGGGAGGCAGCAGUGGGGAAUAUUGCACAAUGGGCGCAAGCCUGAUGCAGCGACGCCGCGUGAGGGAUGGAGGCCUGCGGGUUGUGAACCUCUUUCGCCAGUGAAGCAGGCCUGCCUCGUUUGUGGGUGGGUUGACGGUAGCUGGAGAAGAAGCGCCGGCUAACUACGUG
This 494-nucleotide ribosomal RNA is filed under the name uncultured bacterium. RNAcentral's name for it is "partial 16S ribosomal RNA". It matches the Rfam family "Bacterial small subunit ribosomal RNA", at positions 28 to 507 of the family's 1533-position model. The record is from RNAcentral.